AGCUCAGUUGGUCAGAGCAUACGGUUCAUACCCGUAGAGUCGUUGGUUCGAAUCCAACC
This 59-nucleotide transfer RNA is filed under the name Clostridia bacterium. Its description in RNAcentral is "tRNA-Met". It matches the Rfam family "tRNA", at positions 9 to 64 of the family's 71-position model. From Rfam's summary of the family: Transfer RNA (tRNA) molecules are approximately 80 nucleotides in length. Their secondary structure includes four short double-helical elements and three loops (D, anti-codon, and T loops). Lineage: Bacteria; Bacillati; Bacillota; Clostridia. The record is from RNAcentral.